CGCGUAGGCGGCUCGUUAAGUGGCUGGUGAAAUCCCGGGCUCAACUCCGGGCUGCCGGUCAGACUGGCGGGCUCGAGCACGGUAGAGGCGGAUGGAAUUCCCGGUGUAGCGGUGGAAUGCGUAGAGAUCGGGAAGAAUACCGGUGGCGAAGGCGUUCCGCUGGGCCGUUGCUGACGCUGAGGCGCGACAGCGUGGGGAGCAAACAGGAUUAGAUACCCUGGUAGUCCACGCCGUAAACGAUGGGCACUAGGCGUCGGGGGGAGCGACCCUCCCGGUGCCGUCGCUAACGCAGUAAGUGCCCCGCCUGGGGAGUACGGCCGCAAGGCUGAA
This 330-nucleotide ribosomal RNA is filed under the name uncultured bacterium. RNAcentral describes it as "bacterial SSU rRNA". It matches the Rfam family "Bacterial small subunit ribosomal RNA", at positions 568 to 898 of the family's 1533-position model. The record is from RNAcentral.